RNAcentral lists this ribosomal RNA (253 nucleotides) under uncultured bacterium. Its description in RNAcentral is "partial 16S ribosomal RNA". It matches the Rfam family "Bacterial small subunit ribosomal RNA", at positions 524 to 776 of the family's 1533-position model. The record is from RNAcentral.
UACGAAGGGGGCUAGCGUUGUUCGGAUUUACUGGGCGUAAAGGAUGCGUAGGCGGACAUUUAAGUCAGAUGUGAAAUACCCGAGCUUAACUUGGGUGCUGCAUUUGAAACUGGGUGUCUAGAGUGCAGGAGAGGUAAGUGGAAUUCCUAGUGUAGCGGUGAAAUGCGUAGAGAUUAGGAAGAACACCAGUGGCGAAGGCGACUUACUGGACUGUAACUGACGCUGAGGCAUGAAAGCGUGGGGAGCAAACAGG